This 200-nucleotide unclassified non-coding RNA is filed under the name Trechispora sp. Its description in RNAcentral is "partial internal transcribed spacer 2". Lineage: Eukaryota; Fungi; Basidiomycota; Agaricomycetes; Trechisporales; Hydnodontaceae. The record is from RNAcentral.
UUAAGUUCAGCGGGUAGUCCUACCUGAUUUGAGGUCAGAUUUCAAAGUCUACAAUUCUGUAGUUUUGGCAGCCACUCAAGAGGCGAGCCGGGGAAGGGCGCAAGAAAGGGGAACUUCUCGUCGGAGCGAGGAUGGUACAACGCCCAGUCGAGUUCGACCCACAGGCCCAACCGACGCAUUUGAGGGGAGCAGCCUCUCGG